CUUGCACCUGAACCCAAGAACUGCUGCUUGUGGUAGCUGUGGUUUAAACAGAGGUGCACACAGAAAGUGGGCCUUGUCGCCUUUGGGGGCUGUGUUGUGCCCCUCGGAGUGAAUGUUCAGGUCCUACACCC
This is a small nucleolar RNA of Perognathus longimembris pacificus (Pacific pocket mouse), 131 nucleotides long. RefSeq annotates it as small nucleolar RNA SNORA68. The transcript has a single exon. The record is from RefSeq and is a predicted model, not a curated record. NCBI's taxonomy places the organism in Eukaryota, Metazoa, Chordata, Mammalia, Rodentia, Heteromyidae.